RNAcentral lists this ribosomal RNA (1129 nucleotides) under Salmonella enterica subsp. enterica serovar Kentucky. Its description in RNAcentral is "bacterial SSU rRNA". It matches the Rfam family "Bacterial small subunit ribosomal RNA", at positions 1 to 1119 of the family's 1533-position model. Lineage: Bacteria; Pseudomonadati; Pseudomonadota; Gammaproteobacteria; Enterobacterales; Enterobacteriaceae. The record is from RNAcentral.
AAAUUGAAGAGUUUGAUCAUGGCUCAGAUUGAACGCUGGCGGCAGGCCUAACACAUGCAAGUCGAACGGUAACAGGAAGCAGCUUGCUGCUUCGCUGACGAGUGGCGGACGGGUGAGUAAUGUCUGGGAAACUGCCUGAUGGAGGGGGAUAACUACUGGAAACGGUGGCUAAUACCGCAUAACGUCGCAAGACCAAAGAGGGGGACCUUCGGGCCUCUUGCCAUCAGAUGUGCCCAGAUGGGAUUAGCUGGUUGGUGAGGUAACGGCUCACCAAGGCGACGAUCCCUAGCUGGUCUGAGAGGAUGACCAGCCACACUGGAACUGAGACACGGUCCAGACUCCUACGGGAGGCAGCAGUGGGGAAUAUUGCACAAUGGGCGCAAGCCUGAUGCAGCCAUGCCGCGUGUAUGAAGAAGGCCUUCGGGUUGUAAAGUACUUUCAGCGGGGAGGAAGGUGUUGUGGUUAAUAACUGCAGCAAUUGACGUUACCCGCAGAAGAAGCACCGGCUAACUCCGUGCCAGCAGCCGCGGUAAUACGGAGGGUGCAAGCGUUAAUCGGAAUUACUGGGCGUAAAGCGCACGCAGGCGGUCUGUCAAGUCGGAUGUGAAAUCCCCGGGCUCAACCUGGGAACUGCAUUCGAAACUGGCAGGCUUGAGUCUUGUAGAGGGGGGUAGAAUUCCAGGUGUAGCGGUGAAAUGCGUAGAGAUCUGGAGGAAUACCGGUGGCGAAGGCGGCCCCCUGGACAAAGACUGACGCUCAGGUGCGAAAGCGUGGGGAGCAAACAGGAUUAGAUACCCUGGUAGUCCACGCCGUAAACGAUGUCUACUUGGAGGUUGUGCCCUUGAGGCGUGGCUUCCGGAGCUAACGCGUUAAGUAGACCGCCUGGGGAGUACGGCCGCAAGGUUAAAACUCAAAUGAAUUGACGGGGGCCCGCACAAGCGGUGGAGCAUGUGGUUUAAUUCGAUGCAACGCGAAGAACCUUACCUGGUCUUGACAUCCACAGAAUUCUGCAGAGAUGCGGAAGUGCCUUCGGGAACUGUGAGACAGGUGCUGCAUGGCUGUCGUCAGCUCGUGUUGUGAAAUGUUGGGUUAAGUCCCGCAACGAGCGCAACCCUUAUCCUUUGUUGCC